This 504-nucleotide ribosomal RNA is filed under the name uncultured bacterium. RNAcentral's name for it is "bacterial SSU rRNA". It matches the Rfam family "Bacterial small subunit ribosomal RNA", at positions 28 to 538 of the family's 1533-position model. The record is from RNAcentral.
GACGAACGCUGGCGGCGUGCCUAAUGCAUGCAAGUCGAGCGGGCUACAGUCUUCGGAUUGUAGCUUAGCGGCGAACGGGUGAGUAACACGUAGGUAAUCUACCCUUCAGAGGAGGACAACCUCAGGAAACUGAGGCUAAACCUUCAUACGUUCACUGGUAGGGAUACUGGUGAAGAAAGAGUUACCGUUGAGGUGGCUGCUGAAGGAUGAGCCUGCGGCCCAUCAGGUAGUUGGUGAGGUAACGGCUCACCAAGCCGAAGACGGGUAACCGGUCUGAGAGGAUGUCCGGUCACACUGGGACUGAGACACGGCCCAGACUCCUACGGGAGGCAGCAGCAGGGAAUCUUGGGCAAUGGGCGCAAGCCUGACCCAGCAACGCCGCGUGAAGGAAGAAGGCUUUCGGGUUGUAAACUUCUUUGACAGGGGACGAAACAAAUGACGGUACCCUGAAAACAAGACCACGGCUAACUAACGUGCCAGCAGCCGCGGUAAGAGUAACUCUAU